AUGAUUAUGGAAACAAGACAUGCUCAUGAAAACAACUGUAAAAAGGUUAUGGAGUAGUUCAGCAACUUGGUCACAGCCAGCUUUGAGAAGCUGGGGCAGACUUAGGGCCCAGUUGAGUCUCAUGUACAGCUUCAGGGCUGUCCCUUUAAGUUUGAUUUUAAGCAAUGCCUCACUUAAUAGUUUAGGGGGUGAGGAUUCGAUUCACGUAGUUGUCUGAAGGGACUAAUGGGACCUCUCAGUGAAUCAGCUGGCCAGAUUUGAGGAAAUCUUUAAUUUCUAUGAUUUCCCUUCUCACAUUUUGAAAUGGUCAAAUUGGCUGGAAACAAUUUUCUUGGUGCCUUAUUGGUUUAUCCUUGCAAACCUUUGUCAUAUUUUCUCAUGACUAUUGCCAGUGACCAAGGCCCAUGUGUGUUGUGUGUAAUUGUGCACAUGUCCAAGCUUAAAUAAUGUGCCAACAGCACUGUUUCAAAGUUGGUAUUCAUUAGGCUGUUUCCCCCUGGGCUGUACUAAUCCUGACGCUGGCUGCCAGGAGAAAACGUUAUGGAUCACACACCGAACCUUAAUAACAGCAUCCGUGACCUGCACUCUCCAGUACAGAAUGGGAACCCCAGAGCUAGGAAAUGUAGUUUUAUAUUUUAAUGAACUGCUACCCCUGCCAAAGAAGCUUCUUUCACUUUUGUGCUCUACAGAAAGCCCAAGGGGGGUAGGAGGGACAAAGCUUUGAGUAACUGCUUUCUAACACCAAAUGCGGCCAACAGGACAGAGCACAUCACACAUGCAGGCAGGUGUGAGGGACAGUGGCUAAGAAUUGCCCGCUCCCUCUGCCUGCUCUUGUUUCCAAAGUCCAAUCAGGUGAUCCCGGCAAAGAAAGCUGUCUAGGUUGGGGAGGGUCAUUCUGAAAGAACUGCCAAGACAUUAAAGAAGGGUGAAGGGUAGGCAGAAUAGAAGUAGCUAACCCGAGUCAAGACUUUCAAAGGCUUCUUGCAACCUGAUGAUAAUUGCAGGAUUUAUUUCAGGAUAGUGUCUGUCUGUGGGUACAUCAUUUUAAGACCAUAUGAUUUCAUGUUGUUACAAACUGUGUGUAUAGUAUGUAUGUUUUGUGGGUGUGUAUAUACAUAAUAUAUAUUAUAUAUAGGAAAGAUUUGGUGACUUUUGAUACGGGUUUGGUGCAGGUGAAUUUAUUACUGAGCCAAAUGAGGCACAUACCGAGUCAGUAGUUCGAGUCCAGGGCAUUUAAUACUUUUUCUGAUUUCCAUGUAUGUAUAGUGCCUAUCCCAUGCAGUAGUCACUGUCAUGUUAAAUCCAAAUGUUACACAUCAGAGCCAGCGAUAUUUUAUUUGUAGACAAUCAAUUUGAAUCCAUAAAUUAUGACUGGCAGAUGAUACAUGAUUACAAUUCUGAAUCUGUAACACUUACAAAAGGAAACCCAGAGCCGCUGGAUGAGUUUUUGUUUCUGCUUUGUUCCUGGGAGUCAGUAGAAACAGCAGUUAUAUGUGGUUAUGUUAGUCUCAAGAUACUUCAUUUGUUGACCUUACUUCAGAAAAAUUUUGUAUGUAUUAUAUUUGUGGGAAGGUAAAAUAAUGGUUUGAGAUUUUUAUCAAAUACGAAGAUUAGUUAUUUAUGAAAAACAAAGAAAUGUCUAUUUUUCUUUGUUCCCAAUUAAUGUAGAUAAAUUUUAAAAUGCAUUAAAGUAAUGGUAAAGACAAUACAAAGGUGCUGUAGA
Molecule: non-coding RNA, 1723 nt
Organism: Callithrix jacchus (white-tufted-ear marmoset)
Lineage: Eukaryota; Metazoa; Chordata; Mammalia; Primates; Cebidae
Source: RefSeq, a predicted model, not a curated record